Molecule: RNA transcript, 3229 nt
Organism: Sphaeramia orbicularis (orbiculate cardinalfish)
Lineage: Eukaryota; Metazoa; Chordata; Actinopteri; Kurtiformes; Apogonidae
Gene: airim
Gene name: AFG2 interacting ribosome maturation factor
Exons: 4
Source: RefSeq, a predicted model, not a curated record
UCCAACAACAUGGCAGAAACAUGGUGUGAACACUGAGAGGUAUAAAACAUUUAGUAGAGUUCAUAGUAAAGAAAUAAUUUUAAAAACCUGUAACGAAAAAGGACUAAUGUCAAAAAUAGGUUCGCGAAAUGUCCAAACCGGCAGUAAUACCUCUUCAACAAGCGAUAAAGAAAAGCUUCCAGUGUCUUGAAAACAACCAGAAGAUAUGGAAAAGUGUGUUGGCAGAGUGUGGUCCUCUGAUGGUUUCCCUGGGGAACUUGGCAGAGCAGUCGAUAGCUCUGUCCAACGUCCAACUCUCUAACACACCGCUCAGAGUCUUCCCUGAUCUGGAGGAGAGGCUGCGUUUUAAGCAGCAGCACGCCAUAGACACGGUACUGGGAAAAAUGAACGAGAAGAUGUCUUCUCUCCAGUCUGUGAGGGAUUCCAUCAGUAACCAGGUUUCUGGUGUCUUCCAGCUGUAUGAACAAAACACAGAAAGUCUAGAUAUCCCCACUUUAACCGAGCGUUCGGCCAUAACACCGUCAAUUUCUGACAUGUUGGAGUGGCUGCAAGAUGCAGACCGCCAUUAUCGUCAAGAGUAUCCUUUUCUACCAAAAUCUAAACUGGUGUUUACAUUAUACUGUUAUGCUCUGUGUACUUUUUCUCAACUUGGCAUUCAGAUUUCUGAGGAGGAAGAUGCUACUGCAGACACUGCGAGCAGAUGACCUCUCUCUUUUGGAAUCAGCGCCCAAAAGAUGGAAAUCAUUAGAGACUCCUACUGCAGAAGAUCAGAUCUCUGAUACUCUUUGCAAAGUGUCCUUCUUCAUGGAGUCCCAGUGAAGAGAGUAAAAUGGACAUAAGGGGAGCUCUCACCAGCUUGUGACUGUGAUACCAGGUUUCUGAACAGGCUGAGAGAAGGAAAUGGGGAAAUGAUGGGGACAAGAACCCAAGAACAUACCUGGAAAUCUGAAAUGGACGCAUUUGAUUUGGAUUUCAGGAUGAGGACUGGACUUUCUGCUUAGAUAAAGCAUGACUUGCACCAUGCACCAUGACAGCAUUGUGGACUGUAUUUAUAUGUCCAGCUGAAGGAUGAGAUUGUUACACUGCAGAAUAUGCCUUUUUACAUUACUGCAAUGUACAUACUUGAAUAUGAAUACAAGUAACUCUAUAUCUCCCCAUGUCUGUAAUGAAUGAAACAGCUCAAACUGAAAGUAUUUUCUCAGGAAAACCCAGCACGUAUGAAGAUAAAGACAGCUCCAACAUAAUUAGUGAAACACGCCUUAACAAACUUCUUUUAUUUAACAGUUUUAUAUGUGACAAAUCAAGGUUACAGGUGUCACAACAAUGUCAUAUAAUAAUAUUUAAGAAUUCACUGCAAUGUUCACAACAUGAGCCAUCAUUAAAGCCACAGAAGGUACUUUUGUUACAUUGAAUUGAACAUGGACUUUGUUCAGGCGCUACAGUGCAUCACAGUGUAGUAAUGAUGAAAUUUCAAACAAAGAUGCGAAUGUUUAAUACUGAAGACAAAUUCAACUUUACAAAGAGAUAUAUAGGUAAAAUAUAUUAAGAAAUAUAUAUAUAUAUAUCUUUAAAUUAAUUGAGUUUACAUUUCUUCAAACUUGGAACAGAGUAAAUGUAGAAAAGACCCAGAGUUAGAGUUUCUAAAGGCAUUGACUUUUACAUCUCCCAGACUCUUUUGACGGUCAUUCAUCCACUCUUACUGUAGUCUGGCUGCUUGUUAUACGUAUUCCUUUAGUGGUAGACUAUUGGAUGUGAUAGGUUUUGGGGGGUCUGGUGCAGGUGAAUUAGCAAAGCUCCGGCCUAUAUAGCCCCUGCGAUACCUGCCACCCCUCUCCAUGAGCGGGCAGGUGCUGCUCAACACAGCCCCACUGAUCAUAAGAAUAACUGCAGCCGCCCAGCCCAGGUAAAUAGCCUGACCCAGCUCACGUUUGUGCGUCACAGGCACAUUGGGGUUAUAGAAAUCCUGGACGACAGUGUUAGCAGUCCAGGAAACAGGAACCAGCACACACAGACCUGUCAGGAUAAACAGAAUCCCUCCAGAAAGUGCGAUACCGGCCUUGGCCCUGCGGUCGUCCCCGGCACAAGUGGUGCACUUCAUGCCACAGCAGGACACGGUGCAGGAGAGCCAGCCCAUAAAGAUGGCCAAACACAUGAGGGCACGGGCUGCCUGGAUGUCAGGAGGCAAAGCCAGCAUGGAGUCAUAUGUCUUACACUGCAUGUGACCUGUGGUCUGGUAGAUACAGUUCAUCCAGAUUCCCUCCCACUUGAUCUCUGAGGUCAGGAUGUUGGGGCCAAUGAAGGCUGAAACCUUCCAUUGAGGCAAAGCUGUGACAGCGAUCGCCAUAAUCCAGCCGGUCACCGCGCAGGUGAAGCUGAUAAGCUGCAUUCCAGUGUUCACCAUGUUAACAACUCCUCUGUAUCUCCUCAGGGAUUUCUCUUUUAGGUUGUUCCACCUUUUUGGCAAAGUCUAAAACUCCAAAAGUGUCAGUGUAGUUCAGUUUUCUUUCUGAACCGUGUCGUCUUGUUGCUUUACUGUCUGACUUUCUAAGCUUCUUGCGAUGUUUGCCCCAGUGUCUCAGCUGUCAGCAGCCAUUUUCUUCUCUUUUUCUCUUCCUCUUCAACAUCUGCGCAAAGUUUUCAGUCAAACCUAUCUUUGAAUCGUUGCAUUUCCCAGAAGCUUCUUCUUACUAUCACCGUCAGUCCUCGACCAUUCAAAAAGAUUACAGCCUUCCACACUUUCUCCUUCUUUUCAUUCCUGAGUUUGACUCAAUGCAUUAUUGAGUAGCUGAUAACUGUGCAGCCACCUGUGGCAGCCCACAGUUUCAGGAUCGAUCAGGCUUCAGGGCCAGCGUGGUCCAGGCCGUGUGGAUGAAAUGGAUCUCAGCCAGGCUUUUGUGGAAGUGCUUCUUUUGUGUUCUGGUUCAGAAUCAGGAGGCUUAGUGUUGAGCUGCCGUGUAGUUCAGUGUCUGUCUCCUGGUUUGGUGUUUCCUUACUCAGAUGGGUCAGAACAACAUAACCUGAUACUCUGAUUCAGGGCCACUGAUGCUGCUGGGAGUAUAUCCUGUCACAGCUUGAAAACAGUGACGCUAGAUUACACAAAGAAAAAAGUGGUGUGCCUUUUUAUCUGAACAUGUAACGUAUAAUCCAAGGGAAAUGAAUCGAACAUCCUUCCAUGAGCAAUCCACUGUUAAGAAAAUGUUACUACAGUCUUCUAUUUUAGCAGAUUUUU